UCUCUCUCUCUCUCUCUCUCUCUCUCUCCCCCCAAACUUACCUCCCACAUUGCUCCCCGCGUCGCGCGGGGUUUCUCUUCCGAUCAGCUCCUCUCUUCCCUCCUAUCUCUCCCUCCCUCUUUCUCGGAACGCUAACCCUAACCCUAAUUCUUGAUCUCAGUUUCCCUCCUCGGCUCGCCCUUUACUUUCUCCUAUUUGGAGGGAGGAAUCCGAUCCACCUCCUCCUCUCCGUCCUUCCUCUCUUUCGGACGCGCGUGGGCGUCAUUCUGAGAUCUUUUAUGUCGCCCGAUACCUCGUCGGUGGAGUUCUGAUGGCUUCCCGAGGAUUCCGAUUCUGGAACCGCCCGCUCCGCCAUCGAGGAGGUUGCUGUUGAUUAGGAAAGCAAAGCCCUUCCCAUUACGUUGGAGGUUUAAGCUGACAGUUGGAGGGAGUUUGGUUGGUGAAUCGGAGGUUGUUUCUGGAGAAGAACUUGAUGGCAAGGUUUUUGGCUUUUGGAAUGAUCAAGAGGAUUGGGUAUUCUUUUCGAGUGGAUCCAAAACCCCGCUGUUCAGCCUGUUCUACAAUUCACAAUCAUAGAUCACCUUUUACAGAUGAUUUAUCUAUAUCAUGCAGAGCCUUUUCACAGUACAAGUUUUCUAGUAGACAAAAUACUUCGUUUACACUCUAUAAAGCUAAAGAAAACUUAAAUGAGAUCAGCCAUGUGAAGAAGCUAGCAUUCCUUUCAGCCAGCAGUUCCGUGAGACAUCAUGCCCAAGUUGCUUGGAAAAGGCUUUCCAUGAUAUGCUUUUAUAGAGGAAUUGCCUCUCCAUCAGUCAGUAGGAUUUCUUGUGCCAUGAGCUUGGCUGUUUGUAGAUCUCAUUUAGUUCCCAGUGUCCUUGCAUUUAUUGCUGGAGAGAUGGCAUGGAGUAAGACAGCAUGGGCAGAUGGGGAGUACAUUCCAUCUAGGAAUUCCCUUUACACACGAGCACAAGAUGGCCAUGUUUAUCUCACUUCUUUAAUUUUUUCAAUUUUUGAGUGUUUUAUUUUAUUUCUAAGAGCAGUCUAUUUGGCAAUUCUAUUCUCGCCUAUGAUGGUAAUGGCUCCAUUUGCAGAGAGUUUUGGCAUGCAGUAUAGGAAAACAUGGCUCCAUCUUGUGCAUCGUACUUUAGAAAGAGCAGGUCCUGCAUUUAUAAAAUGGGGUCAGUGGGCAGCUACACGCCCAGAUCUCUUCCCUGGUGAUCUUUGUGCUGAGUUGACAAAGCUCCACAGCAAAGCACCUGCGCAUAGCUUUGCCUACACAAAGAAAAUCGUUGAAAAAGCAUUCAGUCGCAAGCUCACUGAUGUUUUCGAGAAUUUUGAGGAGGAACCUGUGGCAUCAGGAAGUGUUGCCCAGGUACAUCGAGCUUUCUUGAGAUUUCGAUAUCCUGGUCAACAGGUCAAGCGUGUUGUAGUUGCUGUAAAAGUGAGACAUCCUGGUGUUGGCGAGUCAAUUAGGAGGGAUUUCACGAUCAUUAAUGUGCUGGCCAAAAUCUCUAUGUUCAUUCCUGCAUUAAAGUGGUUGCGCCUGGAUGAAAGUGUGCAACAGUUCGCGGUUUUCAUGAUGUCUCAAGUUGAUCUUGCUAGGGAAGCUGCCCAUUUGAGCCGUUUCAUUUACAACUUCCGCAGGUGGAAGGAUGUUUCUUUCCCAAAGCCUCUUUAUCCACUAGUGCAUCCUGCUGUUUUGGUGGAGACAUAUGAGCAUGGAGAAAGUGUUUCUCAUUAUGUUGAUGAGCUUGAAGGACAUGAUCGACUUAAAAGUGCUCUUGCUCACAUCGGGACCCAUGCACUCCUGAAGAUGCUUCUGGUGGACAAUUUUGUACAUGCGGAUAUGCAUCCUGGCAAUAUCCUCGUUCGAGUAUCUCAAUCCAAGCGUACAAAUAAAGGGCUCUUUAAGUCAAGGCCUCAUGUCGUUUUCCUUGAUGUAGGCAUGACUGCUGAGCUUUCCAGCAAUGAUCGUGUAAAUUUGUUGGACUUCUUCAAGGCUGUUGCUCUUAGAGAUGGCCGUACUGCAGCAGAGUGCACCCUGAGGUUAUCAAAACAACAAAAUUGUCCAAAUCCAAAGGCUUUUGUAGAGAAGGGAUGUGCGCUUGAAGAGGAUGAGAUGGGUGGGAGGUCAGACUAACCAGAGAGGCUGCAAGUGCAAUUACAACCAAAUUUGCAGCAAAAGGGCCAAAAGUUGCAAGGAUGAGAUGGGUGGGAGGUCAGACUAACCAGAGAGGCUGCAAGUGCAAUUACAACCAAAUUUGCAGCAAAAGGGCCAAAAGUUGCAAGUCAGUUGCUUGCAAUUGAAGUGGCUUCCAGGCAACCAGAAGUUUGCAAGUGUGCACCGGCAAGCCACUUGAAGCAAAUUGACUUGCAACUUGCCUAAUUGCAGGAAGUGGAGAAGUCGUUCACCUUUUGGGGAACUGCUGAAGGUGAAUCUGUUCACCCAGCUGAGUGCAUGCACCAAUUGCUUGAGCAAGUCCGACGCCAUAAAGUCAACAUCGACGGCAAUGUUUGCACUGUAAUGGUCACAACUUUGGUUCUUGAGGGCUGGCAGCGUAAGCUGGAUCCGGAUUAUGAUGUGAUGCAGACGCUACAGACGUUAUUAUUCAGGUCUGACUGGGCACAGUCUCUUUUAUAUACAAUUGAAGGACUUAUGGCUCCUUAGGAAAAAAGGGGUUCCCUUACAGUCUGUUUCUUUACGUCCAAAAAAUUUUGACAGCAUAAAGCCAAUGUACAAGUUUAUCUUGAUAUGAUUUUGUGGAAGUUUCCUUUCUGGCAAAAUUUUUUCCCUUGUAUUUUUCGUAGUUGCUUUCCCCAAUUUAUUCCUUUUUGCUGUGCUCAGGAUGAGUGGGACAAUAAAAUGGAAUAAAAUAUACAAAAGCCUGAUUUCUGCAUAU
Non-coding RNA from Elaeis guineensis (African oil palm), 2900 nucleotides. Lineage: Eukaryota; Viridiplantae; Streptophyta; Magnoliopsida; Arecales; Arecaceae. The record is from RefSeq and is a predicted model, not a curated record.